Molecule: ribosomal RNA, 528 nt
Filed under: uncultured archaeon
Lineage: Archaea
Description: bacterial SSU rRNA
Rfam family: Archaeal small subunit ribosomal RNA
Source: RNAcentral
CGGCCUGUAGUUUUCGGUUAAUCUGUACGCUCAACGUACAGGCUGCCGGGAAUACUGCAAAGCUAGGGAGUGGGAGAGGUAGACGGUACUCGGUAGGAAGGGGUAAAAUCCUUUGAUCUAUUGAUGACCACCUGUGGCGAAGGCGGUCUACCAGAACACGUCCGACGGUGAGGGAUGAAAGCUGGGGGAGCAAACCGGAUUAGAUACCCGGGUAGUCCCAGCUGUAAACCAUGCAAACUCAGUGAUGCAUUGGCUUGUGGCCAAUGCAGUGCUGCAGGGAAGCCGUUAAGUUUGCCGCCUGGGAAGUACGUACGCAAGUAUGAAACUUAAAGGAAUUGGCGGGGGAGCACCACAAGGGGUGAAGCCUGCGGUUCAAUUGGAGUCAACGCCAGAAAUCUUACCCGGAGAGACAGCAGAAUGAAGGUCAAGCUGAAGACUUUACCAGACAAGCUGAGAGGUGGUGCAUGGCCGUCGCCAGCUCGUGCCGUGAGAUGUCCUGUUAAGUCAGGUAACGAGCGAGGUCCCUGC